Molecule: long non-coding RNA, 578 nt
Organism: Daphnia magna
Lineage: Eukaryota; Metazoa; Arthropoda; Branchiopoda; Diplostraca; Daphniidae
Exons: 3
Source: RefSeq, a predicted model, not a curated record
UGAUGUCCAUGGCGUGCACGGAAAACAUCAGCUCUCGCAAUUCCUCGCGAGAAUCCAAUUGGAUGCUGGAUCGGUGACGAAUACGAAAAGACAAUAAGGUUCCCACUUCACCGCCCUCUUCCGUAAAUAACGGCCGACAAUAAACACGGCGAGAACGUUUGUUGCACCUGCUUGUGAUUUUUCUGCGAUGAAAACUACACCGCCACCCCACCUCCUUUACGGAUAAGAGACAGGUGCGGAGUCUUACGUUCAUCAGAGUGGAAAACAAACGGAAAUAAAAACACGCGCAUCAUUCGAGCCGGAUGACGUGGAUUCCCUGUUUAAUGGGCGUCGCUUUUCUCGUUGCGAUUGAAGCGAAUUUUGUUUGGCAGCGACGGGAAAUAAACACCAGAGACACGCCGCUUAAAUUCUGUUGUGCUGACGUGAGUGGUACACGUUACAAUUGUCGGCUUCCAUUUCAAAUGAUAUCAUCAUCAUUGGAGAUUACCGAUCCUUUAAAGUUGAAGCCGAGUUUAACAGACGAACAGCUGACAGCAGCCCCAUUUCUCGACGAGUCAUUAACUACCAACAGUCAACCG